CGGGUUAAGAGCAUCAAUUGGAAGCCAUGCAAAUGCCCGAUCCAACCGGGAGGUCAUGAGUGUGGAUAUUAUGUCAUGCGAUACAUGUAUGACAUCGUGACAAAAUAUUCAUCUGUUGAUAAUUUGGAUGGGGCAUUUGAAAGCGAUAGUCCGUAUUCUAUCGACGACAUAAAUGAUCUUCGAGAGCAUUGGUCAAAGUUCUUCUUUUCCGAG
Long non-coding RNA from Ipomoea nil (Japanese morning glory), 213 nucleotides. RefSeq lists it as uncharacterized. NCBI's taxonomy places the organism in Eukaryota, Viridiplantae, Streptophyta, Magnoliopsida, Solanales, Convolvulaceae. The record is from RefSeq and is a predicted model, not a curated record. The transcript has 3 exons.